GUCGUGAGAUGUUGGGUUAAGUCCCGCAACGAGCGCAACCCUUGUCAUUAGUUGCUACAUUCAGUUGGGCACUCUAAUGAGACUGCCGGUGACAAACCGGAGGAAGGUGGGGAUGACGUCAAGUCCUCAUGGCCCUUAUGGGUAGGGCUUCACACGUAAUACAAUGGCGCGUACAGAGGGCUGCUAAGCCGCGAGGUAGAGCCAAUCCCUUAAAGCGCGUCGUAGUCCGGAUUGCAGUCUGCAACUCGACUGCAUGAAGUCGGAAUCGCUAGUAAUCGCGGAUCAGCAUGUCGCGGUGAAUACGUUCCCGGGUCUUGUACACACCGCCCGUCACACCAUGGGAGUGGGUUUCACCAGAAGCCGGUCGCUUAACCGCAAGGAUGGCGCCGACCACGGUGAGAUUCAUGACUAGGGUGAAGUCGUAACAAGGUAGCCGUAUCGGAAGGUGCGGCUGGAUCACCUCCUUUCUAGAUCAGCACCUCGCAGUGCCCACCAUCUAUCGGCUGUUACUUCUCCAAGAGAGCGGGUCUGUAGCUCAGUUGGUUAGAGCACCGUCUUGAUAAGGCGGGGGUCGAUGGUUCGAAUCCAUCCAGACCCACCAGACUCUCGCUCUUUAACAAUCUGGGAUUGAAGGUAAAGUUGUUCUCAUUGCGAGAGCGCGUGGAAGUUUCACGUGCUGGAAGCGAUGAGGGCUAACUGGGUUAUGUAUUGCAUCGUGUUCUGCGCCAGAGGAACGGCGUGGAUGCACAAACUUAAGCGUGAGAGUUACCUAUUUCUUUGUGGUGGCUCGCGGCGACUUUGGCCGCGGUCGCUUUCGCUCUAAAGGCGAAGGCAGCAAGGUUAUAGGGUCAAGCGAAUAAGUGCAUGUGGUGGAUGCCUUGGCAAUGAUAGGCGAUGAAGGACGUGACAGCCUGCGAUAAGCUGCGGGGAGCCGGCAAAUGGGCGCUGAUCCGCGGAUUU
RNAcentral lists this small RNA (960 nucleotides) under uncultured beta proteobacterium. Its description in RNAcentral is "bacterial SSU rRNA". The stretch from base 1 to 467 matches the Rfam family "Bacterial small subunit ribosomal RNA", at positions 1064 to 1533 of the family's 1533-position model. Lineage: Bacteria; Pseudomonadati; Pseudomonadota; Betaproteobacteria. The record is from RNAcentral.